Molecule: ribosomal RNA, 253 nt
Filed under: uncultured bacterium
Lineage: Bacteria
Description: partial 16S ribosomal RNA
Rfam family: Bacterial small subunit ribosomal RNA
Source: RNAcentral
UACGGAGGGUGCGAGCGUUGUUCGGAAUCAUUGGGCGUAAAGGGCGUGCAGGCGGCCAGACAAGUCUGAUGUGAAAGCCCGGGGCUCAACCCCGGAAGUGCAUUGGAAACUGUAUGGCUUGAGUACCGGAGAGGAUGGGGGAAUUCCCGGUGUAGAGGUGAAAUUCGUAGAGAUCGGGAGGAAUACCAGUGGCGAAGGCGCCCAUCUGGACGGAUACUGACGCUGAGACGCGAAAGCGUGGGGAGCAAACAGG